Molecule: ribosomal RNA, 200 nt
Filed under: uncultured bacterium
Lineage: Bacteria
Description: partial 16S ribosomal RNA
Rfam family: Bacterial small subunit ribosomal RNA
Source: RNAcentral
AUUGAACGCUGGCGGCAUGCCUUACACAUGCAAGUCGAACGGCAGCACGGGAGCAAUCCUGGUGGCGAGUGGCGAACGGGUGAGUAAUACAUCGGAACGUGCCCAGUCGUGGGGGAUAACGUAGCGAAAGCUACGCUAAUACCGCAUACGAUCUGUGGAUGAAAGCGGGGGACCGUAAGGCCUCGCGCGAUUGGAGCGGC